This 435-nucleotide ribosomal RNA is filed under the name uncultured bacterium. RNAcentral describes it as "bacterial SSU rRNA". It matches the Rfam family "Bacterial small subunit ribosomal RNA", at positions 43 to 524 of the family's 1533-position model. The record is from RNAcentral.
CAGGCCUAACACAUGCAAGUCGAACGAGACCUUCGGGUCUAGUGGCGCACGGGUGCGUAACGCGUGGGAAUCUGCCCUUGGGUUCGGAAUAACUCGCCGAAAGGCGUGCUAAUACCGGAUAAUGACGUAAGUCCAAAGAUUUAUCGCCCAAGGAUGAGCCCGCGUAGGAUUAGCUAGUUGGUGAGGUAAGAGCUCACCAAGGCGACGAUCAGUAGCUGGUCUGAGAGGAUGAUCAGCCACAUUGGGACUGAGACACGGCCCAAACUCAUACGGGAGGCAGCAGUGGGGAAUAUUGGACAAUGGGCGAAAGCCUGAUCCAGCCAUGCCGCGUGAGUGAUGAAGGCCCUAGGGUUGUAAAGCUCUUUUACCUGGGAAGAUAAUGACGGUACCAGGAGAAUAAGCCCCGGCUAACUUCGUGCCAGCAGCCGCGGUAAU